Molecule: long non-coding RNA, 538 nt
Organism: Cucurbita moschata (crookneck pumpkin)
Lineage: Eukaryota; Viridiplantae; Streptophyta; Magnoliopsida; Cucurbitales; Cucurbitaceae
Exons: 2
Source: RefSeq, a predicted model, not a curated record
CAAAAAAUUGAAUCCAUUUCAUUAAUCUGCUCAACAGAUCGCAUUCAAAUCACAUACUUACACGAGAACAGAGAGGAAACAGAGAAUUUGAAAAUUCCAAAGCUCGAAACAGAUCGGAAACAGAAUCAGAGAAGAACGAAACGAAACGAAAAUCCAUCAUCGCGAAUGAUUUCUAAACAAAAUUCACAAUCCUAAUCCAACAGCAAGAAUCAAUCGAAUCUCGAAAUCAAACACCAGCAAUCGGCGAAACAAAAAGCCUCAAGUAAGUCGCUCAGAUUAAAAAAGAACCGAAUCGAAUCGAAACGAAUCUACCUGGAAUUAGAAACGCGGAAAAUAGAGGCGAAGAGGCGAGAGAAGGCUUGGCGAAAACGAGGAUAAACUCUGAGCGUAUGAGCGGCGGAGUCACGGAGAAGUUCCUCUAGGGUUUCGACGAACAAAUUGAGGCUCCGAAUUGGCGGCACAUAGAGCGUCAAUGGCACUGCGGAGAAAGCGACGGCGAAGAACAGCUGAAGCAUUGGAACUUGCUAGGAUCCGGAAU